UGGGGCCACCUUUAUCGAUGUUGGCCUAUUUAUAAGCACAAGAGUUCAUAAAUAUAAGAUGUGGAGUGAUGUCUCUGUUCAGACCCUAUAGGAUCUGAAAGGUUAGAUUGAUAAUGAGGUUUGGAAUCGAAGCAUGACGUAAGGAGAGAACCAAAGCAAGGAAGAAUAGUGGGGAGUAUUGUAUACUGUAAAGCGGAUAGAUAGAGAUAGAAAGAGGUAUUUGUGUUAGUGGAGUUGGAGUACCAGUUUGUACAGAGAAAAUGGGAAAAGAUAUAGAUUAUAGAAUCAAUAUGCUUCUUUCUUGAAUUGGUAACAUUGUCGUUUUCAGUUGCUUCUGUGGUUGAAGAUGUGCUUCAACAACACGGUACUCGCCUCAAAGAUCUUGAUUUGGAAUCUAGAAAGGUGGAAUAAGCUGCUAUUUUGAGACUGAAAAAUAAAUUAUAUAAAAUGCAACAUUUAGAAGAUAUGAAGCAGCAUGGUGGUUGAGAAAAAAUGGUUGGAGUUGUUGCAGCUAAAUAUUUACCCGUAGAGACUUCUAAGGAAGAGUUUAGGCUUUGUUUGUGGAGUGGAAUCAUUCUUUGUAAUGUUCUUAACAAAGUUCAACUAGGUGAUGUAUUCAACGUCAGUUUGGAUGUUCCUUAUUUUAUCUACUCUAUGUUUUUAGUUA
Long non-coding RNA from Cicer arietinum (chickpea), 667 nucleotides. RefSeq lists it as uncharacterized. The record is from RefSeq and is a predicted model, not a curated record. NCBI's taxonomy places the organism in Eukaryota, Viridiplantae, Streptophyta, Magnoliopsida, Fabales, Fabaceae.